GCCUCGAAGGAGAUUUGUGGGGUGGCGCGUAUGUGGGGACUCGGCAAUUUAAACACAUCCCGUGAAGAAACUGCCAACAACUAAGUUCCCCCCCCCCCCCCCCCGCUGUAUGUUCCACCCUUCUGGAGCCAUCUUAUUUGCGGCCUGGCCUCCUGGCACAAGGGAUUCUGGAGGUUGUGGUUUCCGAACGGAUCGAGACUGACACCUGAAGGACGCGGCUUAACCGCUUAGCCCCUAGCGGGUCCUGUGGGUUUCCCGACGUCUCCUGGGCUGAAAUGGAAGCGAGAAGUGAUCGGGAACAUUGUGCUGGCAGUUGGAUCCGGCUGCACCGAGCGCCAGCCUUGAAAUAAGUAAAACCGAUGCCCUUCCGCCCCUAACCUCAAAAGCUGCUUUUGCGUCUCGAUGUUAUUGAGAGCCGGCUCUGCGGUCAGCUCUGAGCUAGGCGCUGUGAGAACGCUCAGUAAGACAGUGUCUCGUCUGGAAAUGUACAGGCGAGAUUCAAACCGAGAAACUGCCAAAGGUUGUGUGCAGGGCAGAUCCUAGGAUACCGGAGACCCAGCCCGUUGGCUUGACCUCAAAACUCGGGGGCUUUUCGGCCCAUGCUGUCCCUUAAUUCCUCCUCCUUUGCUGACGCUGUGGGUGCGCAUCAAAGCCUAAACUUCACUAGCUCCCUUGCACACAAGAACACUAACCCUAACCUGACCAGUUAUUUAUUUUUCACUUCAAGAUUCUUCCAUUGAUACUUACGUUUCCCUGAUACCGUCCAAGUGCUGAGGGCGGGGAUGGACUGUGUGAUUUGCAUCUGCCAAAUGCAGAAAAUUUGGAAGUUCACAGCCUCUUAGUUGGAUGCCCCUGUGUCACAGAACACAUUUUGGCUAUGGGGUGUGAUCUGUGUCUGAGGAACAACAAGAAGCUACACGUCAUCCACACAGGAGCCAAAUCUGGAACUCUGGUCUCAGUUCUUCAGGACUAUUUGAGCGAAUAAUCACUCAACACUGGAGUAAAGGAUGUUCUACUAGAAGUCUUAUUCUGACUCCUAAAACCACGCUACCGAAAGUGUUGAUCCACAAACCAGUGCCAGUGCUUGAACUUUGUUACUGGUCCACAGUUAGGUCCCCUCAGUGAUUCCUGUGUGCACCCAGGGUUGAGAACUACUGCAUAAGAGGUCCUAGAAGAUAUCUGGUAUGGCCAGAGUACAGAGGGACCGGAGGUAA
This 1214-nucleotide long non-coding RNA is filed under the name Homo sapiens (human). RNAcentral describes it as "non-protein coding lnc-ANXA4-1:3". The record is from RNAcentral. Lineage: Eukaryota; Metazoa; Chordata; Mammalia; Primates; Hominidae.